GACGAACGCUGGCGGCGUGCUUAACACAUGCAAGUCGAACGGAAAGGCCCCUUUGGGGGUACUCGAGUGGCGAACGGGUGAGUAACACGUGAGUAACCUGCCCUUGACUUCGGGAUAACUUCAGGAAACUGGGGCUAAUACCGGAUAGGAAUCCUUGCUGCAUGGUGGGGGUUGGAAAGCUUCGGCGGUUUUGGAUGGACUCGCGGCUUAUCAGCUUGUUGGUGGGGUAGUGGCUUACCAAGGCUUUGACGGGUAGCCGGCCUGAGAGGGCGACCGGCCACAGUGGGACUGAGAUACGGCCCAGACUCCUACGGGAGGCAGCAGUGGGGAAUAUUGCACAAUGGGCGGAAGCCUGAUGCAGCAACGCCGCGGGCGGGAUGACGGCCUUCGGGUUGGAAACCGCUUUCAGCAGGGGCGAAGCUUGUGGUGACGGUACCUGCAGAAGAAGCACCGGCUAACUACGUG
This 465-nucleotide ribosomal RNA is filed under the name uncultured bacterium. RNAcentral's name for it is "partial 16S ribosomal RNA". It matches the Rfam family "Bacterial small subunit ribosomal RNA", at positions 28 to 507 of the family's 1533-position model. The record is from RNAcentral.